CUUCUUUCUCUUACUUUUUCUUUCGUUUCCAUUUUUUCUUGUUUCUCCUUGUUCCUCCUCCUCUUCUUUGGUUUCUUCUCCCGCCGCCUCUUCUUCUUCAUUUCCUUUAUUUUUUUUUGUUUACUUCUUCUUCUUUGUUUCAUUUUUCUUCUUCUUUAGAGAAGUCGUUGUCCGCCUUUUCUGUUCGUGGUCGCCGAUUGAUGUCGGAGAUGAAAACCGAAGACACCAUUAUCACCGAUAGGAGCUUUACGGCGAAAGAAAGAAGGAUAAGUUGUUCUUACCGUGUUCUUGAUUUUGUUUCCUUUUGUGUUCUGCUUGCUUGGAGUAGCAACAAAUGCUUUGUUGAUAUCUAGUUACAAAUCUCUUGUUUUGGAAAUUAUUUAAUUAUAUGUUGUGUUGCUACUUUGGGUUAUUCCGAUUUUGUACAAAAAAUAUAUUAUAGGCUAAAAUUGGAAAUUGAAAAAAUUUUGUUAGUUGAGUUGAAUUCCAAGAUCCAAUCACACUUAUAUGGUUGUUUGAUGUGGGAUAUUUGUGGAGAAAACUCUGAGAUGAGGAUUGUGUAUGACAAUCUAAGCAUUAACAUUUGAGUCACUUCUAGGAGAAUAACAUUAAACACUGCAGAAAUGUAGUUGGUCCCGUAAGUAACAUAUACUUGCAUUAUAAUUUUCUGCGAUUGAUUCAUGUAUGUAAAUUUAUGGAAUAAAAGAGUCAUUGGAGUUGUGCCGAUCUCACCAUGCCUCACCUUGAAGUCUUCACUACUUCUAAAUGGAAGUAUUUAUCCUUGCUAAUAUUAUAAUAUGAUACCAUGUUUUUUAAGAUAAUGUAUCUUAUAUUAAUAAAUCACUGCGGGACUAGAUUAUUGCAGACGAAUCUUUUAUAGCCACUUAAAGACAUUGAAACCAUAAAUGCCAACAAAAUUGUACUACACCCCGGAGAAUUGCUCUUAUGAACGAUCUGAUGUUUUAAAUAGUUAAGUUGCUAUUGUUAGUUGUUAGAAUGCAUUUGUAAUUAUGUUAGGAUUUUCUGUACUUGAGUAUGGUUUAGUUUCUACCGUCACUAGCUAAAUAGAGUUGAAUUGGAUAACAUGCUCUAGCACAGUUGUUCAUCUUAUCAGUUUAGUUUUAAAAUUUUUGUUGAUAUACAUUAAUGAUUGCAUUAAUCCUUGGUGAAAGUUAAGGAUGAGUUGAUGAGCAAUGAACAACUUUUUUUUGGCUUGUCUCAGGCUCUUUGGAAGUUCCCAAAAGAAACUGAAAGAGACGAAUCUUGAUAAAACUGCCUUAGAUACUUUACCAUUAUUUUCGAAGGUGAUACCCUAGCCAUUGUUAAGGUGUAUGUUACAACUGUAAUAGUCCCGGAGACCGCACUCAUCCUUCCAACUAAUGCUGGAGCGAAAAUUCUCGGUGAUGUAUUCGACGGAGAUAAUAUCGAGUAGAUUUACAAGGAUUUGGUUCGCCGCCCGAGAUUGCAUACUCCAUGAUUCAGCACUCGACGAGCUGGGUCAUUCAUAGUUGUAUUUAUGAGUUGCCCUUAAGAUCGUACUUACGUAUGAUAUCAUAUUUAUCUAUUUACGUAUUACUUUUUGGUUUUGCGUAUUGUUAUUUAGUAGGUUGUUAUGAUGGUGUACGGAUUCGUGUUUUCUUGGGAUGUUUUGUUAGCACCGUUGACGACUAAUAUUUUAUUUUUGGCUGGACUAUGAACAUUGUUAUAUUGAUAACCAUGUGUAGUAUUACCAUGGAUUUGGAAACAAUUAUGAUAAGAUUAAGUUUUAAAUUA
This is a long non-coding RNA of Andrographis paniculata, 1773 nucleotides long. RefSeq lists it as uncharacterized. The transcript has 4 exons. Lineage: Eukaryota; Viridiplantae; Streptophyta; Magnoliopsida; Lamiales; Acanthaceae. The record is from RefSeq and is a predicted model, not a curated record.